RNAcentral lists this ribosomal RNA (497 nucleotides) under uncultured bacterium. RNAcentral's name for it is "partial 16S ribosomal RNA". It matches the Rfam family "Bacterial small subunit ribosomal RNA", at positions 29 to 507 of the family's 1533-position model. The record is from RNAcentral.
AAUGAACGCUGGCGGCGUGCCUAAUACAUGCAAGUCGAACGACCGGACGGGAAGCUUUCUCCCCUGAUGUUAGCGGCUGACGGGUGGGUAACGCAUGGAUCACCUACCUAUUAUACUGGGGUAACUUCGGGAGACCACAUAUAAUACCGGCUAAUAUUUUGUACCGCAUGGUUCAAGAGUGCAUCACGGUCUUCCCGUCACAUAUAGAUGGUUCCGUGUUGCAUUAGCUAGUUGGUAAGGUAACGGCUUACCAAGGCAACGAUGCGUAGCUGACCUGAGAGGAUGAUCAGCCACACUGGAACUGAGACACGGUCCAGACUCCUACGGGAGGCAGCAGUGGGGAAUCUUGCGCAAUGGGCGAAAGCCUGACGGAGCAAUACCGCGUGAGUGAUGAAGGUCUUCGGGUCGUAAAGCCCUGUUAUUGGGGAAGAAAAGAAGUGGGAGAAACUGUGCAUAUCUUGACGGUACCCAAAGAAAAAGCAACGGCUAACUACGUG